GACUUUGUAUUUGCAGGGGACAUUUGAUAGAGGUCAGGAGACUUUCUGAGGCACAGCAUGAAAUCUUUCUCAAUAGUCUGUCACUGCUUAGGCUGGAAAUUCUCUGACAACAUGAAUUUAUAGAUAUUCCUUAUCCGUGUCCUAUUGGAGUCACCAGGUCAGAAGGUUUAAUUGCUUGUAGAAAUCCUCCUGUGUAACUUCAUGGAUGGGAGCUGAUGAAGCUCGCUGUAGCAGCACCAGAGAUCAGCCAUUGUGAGCAGUAGUUUUUGCUAGUGAGUUAAACUGAAAAACUACAAGGGAGAGCAAAGGAAGAAAAUGAGGAAGAAGUGCCAAGCAAAUCUAACCAAUUUACACUUUGGAGGAAUGUUUAUUGCUUUUGAGAAAUAUUGUCAUCUGUAUUUGUUGCAUUGUUUCCAUGUCUGACAUGUUCCAUGACUGAGGAUGCUUCAAGAAAUUCAUAAUCGUUUUAUAGUAAAUGCCUUUCACUUCUUUCCCAAUGAAGGACAAAAUGCAAAGACCACUAAUUCUAGCACAAUUCGUACAUGCACAAUAAUUUCCCAGUUACAAAACAGUCUGAGGAAACAUGCCAAAACCUAACAAUACUGUGAAAUAUUAAACUUUUCAUUAUUUAUGGCAAUUAAUCAUAGUAACUAUACAGUCUUCUACUUGAUUCUUCUAAGUGUUUCUGUGAAGAUUUAGUGUGGGAGGCAGCAGCAAACAAAGUGCAUAGCUGCAAUUAAUCUAAAGAAUGAAGUCAUCCUGCGAUGUCCUCAUGAGGCAACAAUUCUACAAAUGCUGAUGGUGUAAGGAGUCUAUCUGGAACUCUCUGGUCCUUUCCAAGGGUUAGACUUAUCAUCGCAUGGCCUGCAAAGGUAUAAAUCUCGUGUUUGAAAUCACUUGCUCAUAAAUUCCAGUAUUGGUUAUUCAAAAAGUCUGGUUGGAAACCAUUUGGAUCAAUUUUGAGGCACUAUCCAAUAUCCAGACAGCAAGAUCCAAAAGACAUGAACCUUACAAGAACUGUAAACAAUUAUCCCCAGUAUAAAUGAGAAUUCAAACAAAAGCAAAAAUUGCUGGAAAAUGUCAGCAGGUCUGGCAACAUCAGUGGAGAGAAAGCAGAGUUAACAUUUGGAGUCCACUAGCCAUUCUUCAGAAUGAGAAUAUCUUGAACUAACAGUGACACACUUGAUUGGAUUGUGAUGGACCAGAAACUAGUUCACACCAGUAUACGGUUCGGAGACAGAAUGGGGAAGAACUCUAUCAUGAUGAUGAUUGUGACACUGAUUGUGACAAUGUUGAGUGACAAUCUCUCCAAGGUGGUAUAUGAAUUUGCCAAAUCUCCAAAAUGUUAAAUUGAAAUUUGAAAUAUUGGUUUUGUAAACUCUGUUUUAUGUAUCUGUAUGAUUAUCAAAGUAACAAUUGUGCACAUGUACAAACCAUGUAUUUUUUGUAAAAAAGAGGAAGUUGUGUUCUCGGUGUUAUAGUCAGUAUGCCAUAAUGCCUUUAAGAGAGUUGCUCAAGCUAUCAUCACUGUAUCACAGUAUGAAACCUGAAAGUCUUGAGGUCUUUGUGAUCUACCUUUUCUCUGGUCACUUGAAGCAUACAGCUCCAUUGGAGGCAUGUGUUCUAUUGAAACAUAGUUAAUUGUAACAAAUGUCUCUUGAAAUCUUCAAUGCUAUAAUAUCCAUAUACCGUUUCUAUGCUAUAAGCGAUAAUGAAAGAAUUGCCACAUCAGAUAAAACACUGUUGGAGGCAAUCUCACACCAGAGAGGGGCGGUGCUGCUUGAAAAGGCUAAGGAAAACGUUGCAAAUUACGCCCCGGAAUCCUGAGGACACGGACCUUCAUGUUUUGCAUCUUGCACAACCUCAUCUCCUUGUUCUUGGAGUAACUUAUCAUUGCCUUUCAAUUUUCAAAAGCUUUGGAUGAUGACACAUAAUAUGCUGAAUAAAAGUUUAUUGAAUUGGU
Chiloscyllium plagiosum (whitespotted bambooshark) is the source of this 1963-nucleotide non-coding RNA. The record is from RefSeq and is a predicted model, not a curated record. NCBI's taxonomy places the organism in Eukaryota, Metazoa, Chordata, Chondrichthyes, Orectolobiformes, Hemiscylliidae.